AUUGAACGCUGGCGGCAUGCUUUACACAUGCAAGUCGAACGGCAGCGCGGGGCAACCUGGCGGCGAGUGGCGAACGGGUGAGUAAUAUAUCGGAACGUACCCAGAAGUGGGGGAUAACGUAGCGAAAGUUACGCUAAUACCGCAUACGAUCUACGGAUGAAAGUAGGGGACCGCAAGGCCUUAUGCUUUUGGAGCGGCCGAUAUCUGAUUAGCUAGUUGGUGAGGUAAAGGCUCACCAAGGCGACGAUCAGUAGCUGGUCUGAGAGGACGACCAGCCACACUGGAACUGAGACACGGUCCAGACUCCUACGGGAGGCAGCAGUGGGGAAUUUUGGACAAUGGGCGCAAGCCUGAUCCAGCAAUGCCGCGUGAGUGAAGAAGGCCUUCGGGUUGUAAAGCUCUUUUGUCAGGGAAGAAACGGUAGAGGCUAAUAUCCUUUGCUAAUGACGGUACCUGAAGAAUAAGCACCGGCUAACUACGUGC
This 483-nucleotide ribosomal RNA is filed under the name uncultured bacterium. Its description in RNAcentral is "partial 16S ribosomal RNA". It matches the Rfam family "Bacterial small subunit ribosomal RNA", at positions 30 to 508 of the family's 1533-position model. The record is from RNAcentral.